Molecule: unclassified non-coding RNA, 244 nt
Filed under: uncultured Ascomycota
Lineage: Eukaryota; Fungi; Ascomycota
Description: sequence contains ITS2
Source: RNAcentral
AACGCACAUUGCGCCCCUUGGUAUUCCGGGGGGCAUGCCUGUUCGAGCGUCAUUAUCACCCCUCAAGCUCAGCUUGGUGUUGGGGCCUGCCCGUCACAGGGCAGCCCUUAAAAGCAGUGGCGGUGCCAUCUGGCUCUAAGCGUAGUAAUACUCCUCGCUAUAGACGUCUGGUGGUGUCCUGCCAAAACCCCCCAUAUUUUUAAUGAUUGACCUCGGAUCAGGUAGGGAUACCCGCUGAACUUAA